RNAcentral lists this ribosomal RNA (253 nucleotides) under uncultured bacterium. Its description in RNAcentral is "partial 16S ribosomal RNA". It matches the Rfam family "Bacterial small subunit ribosomal RNA", at positions 524 to 776 of the family's 1533-position model. The record is from RNAcentral.
UACGUAGGGUGCAAGCGUUGUCCGGAAUUAUUGGGCGUAAAGGGCUCGUAGGCGGUUUGUCGCGUCGGGAGUGAAAUCCACUGGCUUAACUGGUGGCUUGCUUUCGAUACGGGCAGACUGGAGGUAUGCAGGGGAGAACGGAAUUCCUGGUGUAGCGGUGAAAUGCGUAGAUAUCUGGAGGAAUACCGGUGGCGAAGGCGGCAUCCUGGACCGAGAUUGACGCUGAGGAGCGAAAGCCAGGGGAGCAAACGGG